Pseudomyrmex gracilis is the source of this 612-nucleotide long non-coding RNA. RefSeq lists it as uncharacterized. The record is from RefSeq and is a predicted model, not a curated record. The transcript has 4 exons. Lineage: Eukaryota; Metazoa; Arthropoda; Insecta; Hymenoptera; Formicidae.
CCGUACAUUUUUUUGAUGGCUCUAUAGAAUGGCGUAUGGACUGGCUUUAUAGGUCCACUGAGCCAAAAGAGCAACCUAACUAAACUGUCGUCAUUCUCUUUUCUCUUUCUUCUUGACCCGACCGACUCGUAGCAGGUUGCAGUGAAUUUGUUGUAACGAGUUUCGACUCAAUUGUAACACAAUGCAUCAAAGGAUUUCUAGACAGCAAAAUCGUUUAACGCUGACGUGCACAGUCAGCACAAAUUCGGUCAACGUGUCGCAAAUUACGUAACAACUUUGAGGAAGAUGAUUUCGAAGCUUUUAAGAGUUCUUGAUGUACAUCAAUAACGGUAUCUGCUACUGGCGUCAAAAACAUCUACAAGGAAGCUCGUAAAAAAUUUGUGCUGAUCCGAUACACAAUAUCACGAGAAAAAAGGAGCCUGUCAAGAAAAAGUGGAGCCACACACAAAUUAUCUGCAUCAGAAAGAACCGUGUGUUAAAAGAAGUCUUCCUUUUUGAAGACUUUGGAAGAAGCUGAAGCGUAACCUUAUAUUACAUUGCAUCUAUCUUGUAAUUUAUGCAUACAUCAUUUGCAUGUAGAAUCAAUCAAGAAUAAAGAAAACUACACCCAUA